RNAcentral lists this non-coding RNA (62 nucleotides) under Eutreptiella gymnastica. The record is from RNAcentral. Lineage: Eukaryota; Euglenozoa; Euglenophyceae; Eutreptiales; Eutreptiaceae.
UAAUUGGGUGCAAAUUAAUAUAAAUUGUUUUUUUUUAUUAUUUUUAUUAUUUAUUUAUCCUA